UGGGGAAUAUUGGACAGUGGGCGAAAGCCUGAUCCAGCAAUGCCGCGUGUGUGAAGAAGGCCUCGGGUUUGUAAAGCACUUUAAGUUGGGAAGAAAAAGCUCUGGCUAAUAUCUAGAGCCUUGACGGUACCAACAGAAAUAAGCACCGGCUAACUCUGUGCCAGCAGCCGCGGUAAUACAGAGGGUGCUAGCGUUAAUCGGAUUUACUGGGCGUAAAGCGUGCGUAGGCGGUUUGAUAAGUCGAUUGUGAAAGCCCCGGGCUUAACCUGGGAAUUGCAGUUGAUACUGUCAGAGCUAGAAAACGGUAGAGGGAGGCGGAACUCCAGGUGUAGCGGUGAAAUGCGUAGAUAUCUGGAAGAACA
RNAcentral lists this ribosomal RNA (362 nucleotides) under uncultured bacterium. RNAcentral's name for it is "partial 16S ribosomal RNA". It matches the Rfam family "Bacterial small subunit ribosomal RNA", at positions 355 to 708 of the family's 1533-position model. The record is from RNAcentral.